This 468-nucleotide ribosomal RNA is filed under the name uncultured bacterium. Its description in RNAcentral is "partial 16S ribosomal RNA". It matches the Rfam family "Bacterial small subunit ribosomal RNA", at positions 28 to 507 of the family's 1533-position model. The record is from RNAcentral.
GACGAACGCUGGCGGCGUGCUUAACACAUGCAAGUCGAACGGAAAGGCCCUGCUUUUGUGGGGUGCUCGAGUGGCGAACGGGUGAGUAACACGUGAGUAACCUGCCCUUGACUUUGGGAUAACUUCAGGAAACUGGGGCUAAUACCGGAUAGGAGCUCCUGCUGCAUGGUGGGGGUUGGAAAGUUUCGGCGGUUGGGGAUGGACUCGCGGCUUAUCAGCUUGUUGGUGGGGUAGUGGCUUACCAAGGCUUUGACGGGUAGCCGGCCUGAGAGGGUGACCGGCCGCAUUGGGACUGAGGUACGGCCCAGACUCCUACGGGAGGCAGCAGUGGGGAAUAUUGCACAAUGGGCGGAAGCCUGAUGCAGCAACGCCGCGUGCGGGAUGACGGCCUUCGGGUUGUAAACCGCUUUCGCCUGUGACGAAGCGUGAGUGACGGUAAUGGGUAAAGAAGCACCGGCUAACUACGUG